CAUUGAGUGUCGUGGGCUGAAUCAACUGGUGUUUUGAAGCUCAGGCUUAAUGCGCGUUUUCACAAUUGAGACAAGACAAAUAUCACGUGGAUCGGUUUCUCGAUUAGUAAUCACCUCUUAUAUUCAUCCAUCAGUCAGAUAAACAAAAGGAAUAAGCUCAUCUUUAAAUGGUCGAAGGUUCCUGCAGAAUGGCGACGUUAAACAUUUGAGAAGUGAGAACAGUUGGCAUGUUGUUGGAUCUCUCUGUGCAUGCUGUGUGCUGUGUAACAUUACAUGCGUCCUGCAUGCAUCUCUGCUCGUGCUCAUUCCAGCUGCAUGUAUCCUGUCAUCCAUGAGUUCACAUCUCUGUCACACCUUCCAUUAACACCAUCAUGGACAAAAACUGUGAUAACAAUAAUAACGCUAAUGUUCUCU
Molecule: long non-coding RNA, 414 nt
Organism: Triplophysa rosa
Lineage: Eukaryota; Metazoa; Chordata; Actinopteri; Cypriniformes; Nemacheilidae
Exons: 3
Source: RefSeq, a predicted model, not a curated record